AAAUUGUGUUCCAUUUCACAAUGUCCAAUCCCCUUCUGGGUGGUAGGAAAGAUCAGAAACACCAAGCUCCAAACAGGACAAAGACCGACUUCGCCAAGGAGAGUGGAUUCAUAUAUAUUAUACUGUUCUAAGCAGCAGCGCAGCAAACACUAAAAUUGGCUAAAAUAUUUUUUUUUUUUGGGUAAAAUAGAGGUAGCAUAAGCUUUACUAAUCGGUGAGAAAGCUACAAAGAACAAAGUACGAUAUGUACAGAUCCUUAUAGAAUGUGGUAAUUACAACAAAAAUAGUGUAACCCCAUUGUAUUGAAAAGAACAGAAAGAACCAACUGUAACCCCCAAAAAUACAAAUGCUGAACCUCAAAACUAUAUAUAAAAGGCACAUUAGAUUAAAAGAGCAGUUAUAUACAACCAUAGAAAAGAAUAUGAAGAGAGAUAGUAGUACUCCAACAGUAGAAUGAAGCAUUCAAGACCGGAUGAAACUGAGAAGAAUAUAUGCCCUGAAACAUGACCGUAAGAGAAGUAAUUGAAGCACCUUCCAGAAUAAGUAUAGCAGCAAUGCACAGAGCCAGCCGUAGUAAAGAGAGGAAAGUCUCAAAUUAACAUGCC
This 605-nucleotide long non-coding RNA is filed under the name Elaeis guineensis (African oil palm). RNAcentral describes it as "long non-coding RNA (EGUI_LNC005800)". Lineage: Eukaryota; Viridiplantae; Streptophyta; Magnoliopsida; Arecales; Arecaceae. The record is from RNAcentral.